Molecule: ribosomal RNA, 440 nt
Filed under: uncultured bacterium
Lineage: Bacteria
Description: partial 16S ribosomal RNA
Rfam family: Bacterial small subunit ribosomal RNA
Source: RNAcentral
CCUACGGGAGGCAGCAGUGGGGAAUAUUGCACAAUGGGGGAAACCCUGAUGCAGCGACGUCGCGUGAGUGAUGAAGUAUCUCGGUAUGUAAAGCUCUAUCAGCAGGGAAGAAAAUGACGGUACCUGACUAAGAAGCCCCGGCUAAUUACGUGCCAGCAGCCGCGGUAAUACGGAGGGGGCAAGCGUUAUCCGGAUUUACUGGGUGUAAAGGGAGCGUAGACGGCGGUGCAAGCCAGAUGUGAAAGGUCGGGGCUCAACCCCGGGACUGCAUUUGGAACUGGGCUGCUAGAGUGUCGGAGAGGCAGGCGGAAUUCCUGGUGUAGCGGUGAAAUGCGUAGAUAGUAGGAGGAACACCAGUGGCGAAGGCGGCCUGCUGGACGAUGACUGACGUUGAGGUUCGAAAGCGUGGGUAGCAAACAGGAUUAGAUACCCUUGUAGUC